This 651-nucleotide ribosomal RNA is filed under the name uncultured bacterium. Its description in RNAcentral is "bacterial SSU rRNA". It matches the Rfam family "Bacterial small subunit ribosomal RNA", at positions 746 to 1404 of the family's 1533-position model. The record is from RNAcentral.
CUGAUGGACGAAAGCGUGGGGAGCGAACAGGAUUAGAUACCCUGGUAGUCCACGCCGUAAACGAUGCUAACUCGUUUUUGGGACUUCGGUUUCAGAGACUAAGCGAAAGUGAUAAGUUAGCCACCUGGGGAGUACGUUCGCAAGAAUGAAACUCAAAGGAAUUGACGGGGGCCCGCACAAGCGGUGGAUUAUGUGGUUUAAUUCGAUGAUACGCGAGGAACCUUACCAAGGCUUAAAUGGGAAUUGAUUGGUUUAGAAAUAGAUCGUCCUUCGGGCAAUUUUCAAGGUGCUGCAUGGUUGUCGUCAGCUCGUGCCGUGAGGUGUUAGGUUAAGUCCUGCAACGAGCGCAACCCCUGUCACUAGUUGCCAUCAUUAAGUUGGGGACUCUAGUGAGACUGCCUACGCAAGUAGAGAGGAAGGUGGGGAUGACGUCAAAUCAUCACGGCCCUUACGCCUUGGGCCACACACGUAAUACAAUGGCCGGUACAGAGGGCAGCUACACAGCGAUGUGAUGCGAAUCUCGAAAGCCGGUCUCAGUUCGGAUUGGAGUCUGCAACUCGACUCUAUGAAGCUGGAAUCGCUAGUAAUCGCGCAUCAGCCAUGGCGCGGUGAAUACGUUCCCGGGCCUUGUACACACCGGCCGUCAAUCAC